RNAcentral lists this transfer RNA (77 nucleotides) under Hyphomicrobiales bacterium. RNAcentral's name for it is "Rhizobiales bacterium (bioreactor metagenome) tRNA-Arg". It matches the Rfam family "tRNA". From Rfam's summary of the family: Transfer RNA (tRNA) molecules are approximately 80 nucleotides in length. Their secondary structure includes four short double-helical elements and three loops (D, anti-codon, and T loops). Further hydrogen bonds mediate the characteristic L-shaped molecular structure. tRNAs have two regions of fundamental functional importance: the anti-codon, which is responsible for specific mRNA codon recognition, and the 3' end, to which the tRNAs corresponding amino acid is attached (by aminoacyl-tRNA synthetases). tRNAs cope with the degeneracy of the genetic code in two manners: having more than one tRNA (with a specific anti-codon) for a particular amino acid; and 'wobble' base-pairing, i.e. permitting non-standard base-pairing at the 3rd anti-codon position. The record is from RNAcentral. Lineage: Bacteria; Pseudomonadati; Pseudomonadota; Alphaproteobacteria; Hyphomicrobiales.
GGCCCCGUAGCUCAGCUGGAUAGAGCACUGCGCUUCGAACGCAGUGGUCGGGAGUUCGAAUCUCUCCGGGGUCGCCA